AGAUUGAACGCUGGCGGCGUGCCUAACACAUGCAAGUCGAGCGGUAACAGGUGUAGCAAUACAUGCUGACGAGCGGCGAACGGGUGAGUAAUGCUUUGGAAUCUUCCCAGUAGUGGGGAAUAACCAGUCGAAAGAUUGGCUAAUACCGCAUACGUCUGUAAAGGGAAAGCGGGGGCUCGUAAGACCUCGCGCUAUUGGAUGAGCCAAAGUCGGAUUAGCUAGUUGGUGGGGUAAUGGCCUACCAAGGCGACAAUCCGUAGCUGGUCUGAGAGGACGACCAGCCACACCGGAACUGAGACACGGUCCGGACUCCUACGGGAGGCAGCAGUGGGGAAUAUUGGACAAUGGGGGAAACCCUGAUCCAGCGACGCCGCGUGUGUGAAGAAGGCCUGCGGGUUGUAAAGCACUUUUAGUGGGGACAAAAGCUACGGACUAAUAUUCUGUGGUCUUGAUUUAACCCAAAGAAAGCACCGGCUAACUCUGUGCCAGCAGCCGC
Molecule: ribosomal RNA, 496 nt
Filed under: uncultured bacterium
Lineage: Bacteria
Description: SSU rRNA
Rfam family: Bacterial small subunit ribosomal RNA
Source: RNAcentral